This is a long non-coding RNA of Microtus oregoni (creeping vole), 526 nucleotides long. RefSeq lists it as uncharacterized. The transcript has 4 exons. The record is from RefSeq and is a predicted model, not a curated record. NCBI's taxonomy places the organism in Eukaryota, Metazoa, Chordata, Mammalia, Rodentia, Cricetidae.
ACAAGAAGCUGACAUGAGCCCUUGUUUCCAGUAUGUGAGUCAUCAUUGCCACCAAUGGUCUGGGUCAUUGGCUGUGCACACACAUCCACAGACAGUACAACAACAGCCUCUAGUCCCUUGUUGCUGACCUUUGGGAAGCUGGGCAUGUAAGGCCAUACAUGAUCUACAGUGUACUUGUAGAGGUCAGAGGACAACUUGCAGGAGUCAUUUCUCUGCUUCCACAAUGUGGGUCCUGGGGAUCCAACUGAAGUCAUCAGAAGCAGUACUCGGGCUUCUAUUACACUUUAAUACGAUCUACAUAUAAGAACAGGGGAGAAAACAGUGAACUUUCCAUGCAGAACCAACUCCUGGAGAAGAACCAAAAGUGGUGUGGUCUGUUCAGCCUGUUACCUGAGCAACAGUGACAAGAUCAUGUGGGACUCACCAGGUCAGUCAUUUCCUUUUCUCUUCCCAUCCGUGUGACCAGCAGCUGGUCUGUGAUGCCUUGUAGGAACACAUCCUGUUGAGCAGGUAGCAGCAAGAGCAG